This is a long non-coding RNA of Portunus trituberculatus (swimming crab), 1865 nucleotides long. RefSeq lists it as uncharacterized. NCBI's taxonomy places the organism in Eukaryota, Metazoa, Arthropoda, Malacostraca, Decapoda, Portunidae. The record is from RefSeq and is a predicted model, not a curated record. The transcript is spliced from 2 exons.
UGCCUUCCAUGCCAUUUAAAGGUCUGAGUGAGGAGGUUAAGCUUUAUUAUUCGUUAGUUGUGUAUUUUCGAAGUUACUUAGCUAUCAUUUAGCUUUUUGCAUUGAGAUUUAGCUAAUUAUUGAUACAAAACGACCGAGGUGGCGGCCGGCCCGUCCCUAUUUAUCAACCUAACCUACCUUAUUUCUCACUUUUAUAGCCCUGUCUUGACUCAACAUGCAGCCGCGUCACUAAGCUUUCACAUCCAGCGUUCAGAGUCAGCCACUCUGGCCAGGUUUGUGUAUGGUGAAGGGUUUUAUGUGAGGCAGAGGGGGGGGACCCACCCGGCAACAGACCCCGCCGCCAUCAUGCAUUCCUCGUUUAUUAGCCUUUUCUUGCCUUGUAUCUCAAUAUUAUAGCCCUGUCUUACCACAACAUGUUGCCGCGCCCCUAAGCUUUCCUAUCCAGCAUUGAGACACAGCCGCCAUGGCCAGGUUCAAGUUUGGUGAAGGUUUAAGUGAUGUACAAGAGGGGGUCAACCCCUUCACAGAUCCGCCGCCAUCUUGGAUAUGCCUAUCCCGGCUCCGCGACCUGCCCAGAAUCCAGGAUUAUUAUUUUGUUUUAUUCCUGGAUAGUUUAUUUGAGGUCAAUAGUAAGAUUUGAUGGUUUCUACAAGUGUUGCGUUGUGUUUGAAGUGUUUUCCGUGCGUGUAUGAGGUGCUGCAUGUUGUUGUUGGCGUUAUUUUUGUGUUAAAUAAGGGCGCAUUUUGGCGCCAAAUUUUCAGGAACGUCCAGGGAAAAUUUUUGUUUGAGCCAGUAUCAAGUUGUUAUUGUUUUCAAAAAAUAGUUGAUGUGUUUUUAAGCGUUACGCUUUCCUAUUUAGUGUAAUUAAUGGAGAGUAGAUUUGUUUCUAAAGGAGUUAAUGUUCCAACAAUAGUUUUGUUGGUACCCCUGUGAAUUAUUUAUUUUUGCCUCUAACUCACUCUAAAGUGUUGGAAAAGACUCUUCAUAUUUACUAAAGUGUGUUUCGUUCCUUUGAAGUGAGAAUGGGGAGGCAUUUUAAAAUUUGUAAGGGGGGUCAAGGUUCCAACAUUUUAUUUAUAGUUCUUUUGAAAAAUCUCUGAUAUUACUAGGAUUUGGAAUCUCUUUAUAUUUUUGAUGUUAGUUAAAGUAUGUGCCAAAUCAGAAUAUGUAAAGCAUUUGGGUCUGGCGGCGUUUUUCCGAGGAGUCAUUUUCAAAAUGAUUUGUGUAACGUAUAUAAUCCCGCCAAGCGGGCCGGGCCAGACCAGGGCCGUGACGUCAUCAGCCAGGCAGUGACGUCAUCAGCCAGCGACCCCCACCGGGCAGUGACGUCACGAUGGCCGGAACCUCCCAGCUGCCUUGCCUUCCUGGCUCUCUUCGUCUAUAUGUAGCAUGAUUUACUGUGUUAUACGUGUGUGUGUGUGUGUGUGUGUGUGUGUGUGUGUGUGUGUGUGUGUGUGUGUGUGUGUGUGUGUGUUCUACUUUCAAACACAUGUACUCUCAUUAAUUUUUAUUUCAAUAGUAGAAUUUCUUUUAGUUUAUUUAUUUAUUUAUUUAUUGUUCAUUAAGUGUUAUGUCCAAUUCUGUUCUAAUUCUUAUUGUUUGUAUGAUUAUUGUACACGUGUGUGUGUGUGUGUGUGUGUGUGUGUGUGUGUGUGUGUGUGUGUGUGCAGUGAGUCAUUACAACAAAUAACAUAUCCUGUACAAAGUUGGACCUCGCGAGAAAACCACCCAAGAACUAGCGUAGAAAAACAAUUAUAAUCUGUUACCACACUGACGGGGUAGAAGAGGAGGAGGUGGAGGUGGCAGGUGCUGGCAUGACCUUUUGGGAGAGUUAAAGGACUUAUAUGAGGCUAAAAGAAAACUGU